AGAUGACGCGGCGGCUUGCCUUACACUGCAAGUCGAACGGUAACAGGGUGCUGCACCGCUGACGAGUGGCGAACGGGUGAGUAUGCGUCGGAAUGUACCGUGUAAUGGGGGAUAGCUCGGCGAAAGCCGGAUUAAUACCGCAUACGGCCUGAGGGGGAAAGCGGGGGAUCGAAAGACCUCGCGUUAUACGAGCAGCCGACGUCUGAUAGCUAGUUGGUGAGGUAAGAGCUCACCAAGGCGACGAUCAGUAGCGGGUCUGAGAGGAUGAUCCGCCACACUGGGACUGAGACACGGCCCAGACUCCUACGGGAGGCAGCAGUGGGGAAUUUUGGACAAUGGGGGCAACCCUGAUCCAGCCAUGCCGCGUGUCUGAAGAAGGCCUUCGGGUUGUAAAGGACUUUUGUCAGGGAGGAAAUCCCGCUGGUUAAUACCCGGCGGGGAUGACAGUACCUGAAGAAUAAGCACCGGCUAACUACGUGCCAGCAGCCGCGGUAAUACGUAGGGUGCGAGCGUUAAUCGGAAUUACUGGGCGUAAAGCGUGCGCAGGCGGUUGUGCAAGUCUGAUGUGAAAGCCCCGGGCUUAACCUGGGAACGGCAUUGGAGACUGCACAGCUAGAGUGCGUCAGAGGGGGGUAGAAUUCCACGUGUAGCAGUGAAAUGCGUAGAGAUGUGGAGGAAUACCGAUGGCGAAGGCAGCCCCCUGGGAUGACACUGACGCUCAUGCACGAAAGCGUGGGGAGCAAACAGGAUUAGAUACCCUGGUAGUCCACGCCCUAAACGAUGUCAACUAGCUGUUGGGGGUUUGAAUCCUUGGUAGCGUAGCUAACGCGUGAAGUUGACCGCCUGGGGAGUACGGCCGCAAGGUUAAAACUCAAAGGAAUUGACGGGGACCCGCACAAGCGGUGGAUGAUGUGGAUUAAUUCGAUGCAACGCGAAAAACCUUACCUGCUCUUGACAUGUACGGAACUUGCCAGAGAUGGCUUGGUGCCCGAAAGGGAGCCGUAACACAGGU
Molecule: ribosomal RNA, 1012 nt
Filed under: Chromobacterium violaceum
Lineage: Bacteria; Pseudomonadati; Pseudomonadota; Betaproteobacteria; Neisseriales; Chromobacteriaceae
Description: bacterial SSU rRNA
Rfam family: Bacterial small subunit ribosomal RNA
Source: RNAcentral